This 441-nucleotide ribosomal RNA is filed under the name uncultured bacterium. RNAcentral's name for it is "partial 16S ribosomal RNA". It matches the Rfam family "Bacterial small subunit ribosomal RNA", at positions 338 to 795 of the family's 1533-position model. The record is from RNAcentral.
CCUACGGGGGGCAGCAGUGGGGGAUAUUGCACAAUGGGGGAAACCCUGAUGCAGCGACGCCGCGUGGGUGAAGAAGUAUUUCGGUAUGUAAAGCCCUAUCAGCAGGGAAGAAAGAAGACGGUACCUGACUAAGAAGCCCCGGCUAACUACGUGCCAGCAGCCGCGGUAAUACGUAGGGGGCGAGCGUUAUCCGGAUUCACUGGGUGUAAAGGGAGCGUAGACGGCCGUGCAAGCCAGGGGUGAAAGCCCGGGGCCCAACCCCGGGACUGCACUUGGAACUGGGCGGGUGGAGUGCGGGAGGGGCAGGCGGAAUUCCUGGUGUAGCGGUGAAAUGCGUAGAUAUCAGGAGGAACACCGACGGCGAAGGCAGCCUGCUGGACCGCGACUGACGUUGAGGCUCGAAAGCGUGGGGAGCGAACAGGAUUAGAUACCCGAGUAGUC